CCUACGGGAGGCAGCAGUGAGGAAUAUUGGUCAAUGGACGAGAGUCUGAACCAGCCAAGUAGCGUGAAGGAUGACUGCCCUAUGGGUUGUAAACUUCUUUUAUAUGGGAAUAAAAUGUUCCACGUGUGGGAUUUUGUAUGUACCAUAUGAAUAAGGAUCGGCUAACUCCGUGCCAGCAGCCGCGGUAAUACGGAGGAUCCGAGCGUUAUCCGGAUUUUUUGGGUUUAAAGGGAGCGUAGGUGGGUUGUUAAGUCAGUUGUGAAAGUUUGCGGCUCAACCGUAAAAUUGCAGUUGAAACUGGCAGUCUUGAGUACAGUAGAGGUGGGCGGAAUUCGUGGUGUAGCGGUGAAAUGCUUAGAUAUCACGAAGAACUCCGAUUGCGAAGGCAGCUCACUGGACUGCAACUGACACUGAGGCUCGAAAGUGUGGGUAUCAAACAGGAUUAGAUACCCGUGUAGUC
RNAcentral lists this ribosomal RNA (460 nucleotides) under uncultured bacterium. RNAcentral describes it as "partial 16S ribosomal RNA". It matches the Rfam family "Bacterial small subunit ribosomal RNA", at positions 338 to 795 of the family's 1533-position model. The record is from RNAcentral.